AAAGCGGCUCGCGGGUAAUAAUGAGGCGCAAACAUUAAGCGCAAGAACGCCUCGGGCAUCGCCAAAGGCCCCCUCUUAGCACACUUAAUAAAUACGUUUAUCGCUUCAGUGACUCCCGUCCAUCGGCUGAGUGGAUCCAGUGACGUCACUGGCGCUCCUCUAACGUCAUGUCACGAUAAAACAAAACGGCCGCAGAACCACAGCGAAGAUAUUGACCAGUGUCCACGCGCGGUCGCGGCUCGCUCUUCCGUCCUUCGCUCUGACAACGUAUUCUCGGUGACACCUGUGCCUUCGCUCCACUGGCAAGCUUACCUCUCAAACAAAAAUUCCUCGACGACAAAAUGCGCCGCAGCGAGACUUAGGUCAGUCCAGCGAUUAUCGACGUUCAGGAAUGCUGCGUUGAAUACGCACAAAGCAGGUUACUUAUCGCUACGCUGUUAAAAGAUCAGUACCUAUUAAUAGGCAAAGUAGAGGACAGUGACCUUGUAAUUUAUGUUUCGAUCAUACGAAACACAAAGUUAAUAAAUUCUUACGACGAAAUAAUACGUACGUCUCGACUGCUUCUGUAAGUAGUUUUGGGUAAGCCGAGCUUCAUUACACACACAGUUAUAAUUAGGAUCUGAAAAGGACUAAUUGCAGACAGCGAUCCCAGAUUGCUGUAGGUAGACCGAGCAAUAACGCAGAUAAUCUCCUCCGUCGUAAUUAUUGCUUCAAAGAUGACUAUGUACGUACUACACUGCAAAUGCAUCUCUAUGUAUAACGGUCGCAAUGUCGCGAUCCGUCGGGCCACCGAUUACAGUGGUGCGCUUUACGGAGAUAGACGAGAAUAAUGCUUGCACAGCUUACAAGAACUUACCUUGAAGUGGGGGAAAAGGAAGAAAGGAUGUUAAAAAAAUUGCUGACGUGACAUUACGCGUGUAAGUCGCAAAGCGAGAUUGCACUUGCAAACACCGUAAAUUGCUUAAAGACCCCGCGGAGAAUCCUAAUUUCUUUGUGUUUAUGAUUACACGUAUUAUUACAGUGGAUUUACAUCGAUCUCUGCGCUCGUCAAUGACAGAAGCUCCGACUGACGCUCUCAAACCCGUAUCAGAUUAGUCAUUAGAGAUCGAAGAUUACAAACUAAAGAUUAGAAUUCAAUCAAUCAUAUCAUUGUAGUUUUGAUCCGUUUCAUUUAAUUGGUUAAAUUCUAAUCUCCAAUUCGCAAUCCUCAAUCUUUAAUGCGUAGUCUGAUAUGGACUUCCGUUAUUCGCUUCCACUUUCGGCAAACGGCAAUCGUUCGUAUCGAUCAAACGUAAAUCUAAUAAAUUCUUCCGACAGAACAAUACGCGUGUCUCGAUCUCUUCCGCAAGAUCAUCGUUGAUCAUUGAUCAAGGCGUGGCAUUGGACGUGAAUUACCGCAGAACGUUCUCACCAUUGUCUUCGCGCUUCCCGCUUCUGCAUAUUCGAGGUUGUCGAGCGGAAAAUUUACUUUGCAAAGUAUGAUUGCUAUUAAUUAUACCGCGCGUGUUGCGAUGAUUUGCACCUCAGGAUGGGCAAGGUGUUAAUUACUAGCGGUUGCGACUCAAAGCUCACAAUCCUCGAACCAGGAACAAAUAAUCGGCCUGAAUUGCAAAAUCGAUCACGGGGCAGACGCAUUGAUUGUGAAAGACUCCCGAUCGUAAUUGCAUUUUCUCUUUACCGGUUUUCAAUUUGCAUUCCGUUGGUUUACGGGAUUAUCUGUUCAUCUUCCGGGGACCACUCACACCUAUUGUUGACCCGGCGCAUCUAUCCGAGCACGCUGGGUACUAUAUCCAGUGACCCACAUACGGUUUACGAGCCACCGUCCCGUAGAAAAUCCCAUAUUCCGAUAAAGUGACGAAUGUGAGGCCCCGACUGCACACAUGAACACACACACACGCACACACACACGCACACGGAGAUAACCCUCGACUAUUCUGUUUUUUUUCGCGACGUUAUAUCACUUUGUUUUUAAAACACAGACGGUAAAUUCGACGGAGAAAAGAGGGAGGUCCAAAGCUCUGGUAUGUCACGUCCGACUGAUUGGAGGAUGAUCGCCGUUGGCAAAAAAAAGGAAAUGCAGCGUUCUACGAAUCGCAUUUUUCGACGAUCGAGACGAAAAAAAUAAUGGCAGUAACCGCAGAAUUGAAUGUGACCUUUGGGAAUACGAUCCAAUACGAUUGAAGGCAUUAACAGUGCUUUAUGUUUCGAAUUAUUAUUACAUAGUAUGGAACUCUACACGAAACGUAUAGAAUAAUAAAUUUGAAAUUUAGUCAUUUAA
Molecule: long non-coding RNA, 2278 nt
Organism: Solenopsis invicta (red fire ant)
Lineage: Eukaryota; Metazoa; Arthropoda; Insecta; Hymenoptera; Formicidae
Exons: 2
Source: RefSeq, a predicted model, not a curated record